GAAAGGCUCAUUAAAACAGCUAUAAUUUACUCGAUUUUGACUAUCUAAACGGAUAACUGCGAAAAAUUUGGAGCUAAUACGUGCACCUAAGCAAGAUCCUCUGGAGCUUGCGCACUUAUUAGAUGAAGACCAAUCAGGGCAACCUGUUUUGGUGACUCUGAAUAAUUUCGCUGAUCGCAUGGUCUUGUACCGGCGACGGAUCGAUCGAGUUUCUGCCCUAUCAACUGUCGAUGGAAGUCCAUGUGACUGCCAUGGUUGUAACGGGUAACGGAGGAUCAGGGUUCGACUCCGGAGAGGGAGCCUGAGAAACGGCUACCACAUCCAAGGAAGGCAGCAGGCGCGUAAAUUACCCACUCUCAAUUCGAGGAGGUAGUGACUAUCAAUAACGAGACAGAUCUCUAUGAGGCCUGUUAUCGGAAUGGAUACAAUAUAAAUCC
RNAcentral lists this ribosomal RNA (437 nucleotides) under Oigolaimella attenuata. Its description in RNAcentral is "SSU rRNA". It matches the Rfam family "Eukaryotic small subunit ribosomal RNA", at positions 91 to 532 of the family's 1831-position model. The record is from RNAcentral. Lineage: Eukaryota; Metazoa; Nematoda; Chromadorea; Rhabditida; Diplogasteridae.